GCUCGGCCCAAUAAACGGUUGGGAGUUGGGACCCAUCGCCUUCGUUCUCCGCUCGCUGUGGCGGCGAGACGAGAGGAUUCCGGCGACAGAUGCGAGAGGGAAGAAGAGGAGAAGAUUUCCGUUGUUGAUUCAGACAAGGCGAAGUGGGGAAAUCUCAGCCGCGACCAUCAGGUGCAGCUCCCGCAGUGUGAUUUGGACUCAGCUCAGCUCCUACUCCCCCCUCCCUGCGCCGCGACCUGAGCUCUGCUCCCACUUGCCUCCUCCUCAGGUGAUUCCGUCCCCUCCUCACAAUCUAGCACGCAUCACCAAUUCUCUCUCUUCCGGCAAGGGAAUCGGCUGCUUAGAGCGUGGAGUUCGUUGGUUAAUCGGUUGUGAUUGCUGCUGAUCCUGCGGGUAGGAACUAGGAAGGCAUGCUGAGCGGCCACGCCGUGACGCUGAGCGAGAGGAGCGCCUCCGGGGCGCGCUUGAUCGAGGAUGCCCCGUCGGAGGCCGGCGACGAGGAGGCCGAGUCCGCCGCGCGGGUGCUGUACCGGGCCUCGUUCCAGGAGCUGAUGCCCGGGUACCUGCUGUACGACACCAUCAUCUGGGCGCUGAUAUCCCUGCUGCUUGUCCUGGCGUGGGGGAUCGGCCUGCUCCUGCUCCUCUACCUGCCGUACAAGAGAUACGUGCUCAAGAGGGACAUCCUGUCCCGCCAACUCUAUGUCACCGAAAAUAACAUAGUGUACAAGGCGACCAGGCCUUCCUACUUGCCGUUCGUGGGGAUAGUCAAGAAAGAGAUUAGAGUACCUCUCCAUUUGAUCGUUGAUGUUAUAAUUGAGCAAGGCUGUCUACAAUCUGCUUAUAGCUUAUACACAUUUAGAAUAGAAAGCAUAGCCCAUGGGAAACCUACUCCAGUGGAUGAACUGCAAUUUCAUGGUGUCUAUAAUCCAGAUCUUCUGAGAAAGGUUAUUAUCAGAGAAGCUUCCAGGAGAAACCAAGAAGUCCUGAUUCAGAGAACUAGAUUGUACUCUGGGGAAGGCCCUUCCUAUAUUCCACCAACUAGUGGAUUUCACUCUCCUAGUUCCAAGUAUGUGCAGGUUAAAGCUUCCUCAAGCCGUGAUGUCCUCUAUUCUAAGGGAAAAGAUCCUAACAGCAUAUUGCUCAACAAGCUUGAAGAAGUUAGUCGAUCAGUAAAGAAUCUUGAGUCUCUCCUCAUAGGAUCACAUACAAUAGAAUGAUCUGAUAGAGAUGAUCAACACAUAUUCUGAUAUCAUCUUCUAUGAUUUACUCUCAAACAUGGAAACAACUGGAGGCACGAGUUGAGUCCUGCAAACACCAUGGAGAAUAAUGUAACAACUGUUGGUGCUGAAAAUGAGUUUCUAGCUUGAUUUCAUGGCAGUUAUUUGAUGUACAUAAGUCAUGCUGAUUCUUCCAAGUUUCACAAUUCCAUGUACAAAGGAAUACAUAAUCAAUGGGUUAGAUUACAAAGUAGAUCAACAUACAUGGUCUAAUUUGGUGACAUAGAAACAUAAGAUCUGUGAAUGUUAAUAUUGAAGAGUUAUGCAUGGUACAACUAUUAUGCCUGUUGAACUCAAUGCUGAAGCCUGUGGUGAUGAUUAAAUUGCCAUUAUGUAUACUAAUGGUGUCCAAUAAGAGGUAACAUCGUUUUUUGGGGGUUUUAUGCCAACCAUUUGAAGGUGUAGAACUGCAUGCUUGGUCCUGCAGCUUGUUCUAACCUGAUUAUUACCUGCUCGUUAUCAGUCAUGUACUCCUCCGUUCUUAAACACAUGAUGUUUAGGACAAGCUAAUUAGUCAAGCUUGUCUUAAACGUCAGAUUGUACCAUUCUGUCUAAAUUCAAAUAAUGUGUACGUUUUCCAA
Molecule: RNA transcript, 1858 nt
Organism: Panicum virgatum (switchgrass)
Lineage: Eukaryota; Viridiplantae; Streptophyta; Magnoliopsida; Poales; Poaceae
Exons: 7
Source: RefSeq, a predicted model, not a curated record